Non-coding RNA from Aaosphaeria arxii CBS 175.79, 106 nucleotides. The record is from the annotation of a RefSeq genome assembly. NCBI's taxonomy places the organism in Eukaryota, Fungi, Ascomycota, Dothideomycetes, Pleosporales.
UCCGAUAUGGUCUAGUGGCUAGGAUUUGCCGCUCUCAUUACGAGAGUCAGUUACACUGUCAUUUUCAAGUGCCGGCAAGGCCCGGGUUCGAUUCCCGGUGUCGGAA